GUGCACCGACACCUAUGCCUGGUAUUCAUAUUCCCUUGCUUAUGUAUAGAUUUUUUUUAUUUUUAAGAAUCAGCUGCUCCAUUAGUACCCGUUCCUGUCAACUAUGAGCUAUCCCCAAUAUCGGUGUUAGAUCUGGAUGUACAGCCGUACAGGAGUCGGAAAGGAGAUUGAGGAGGAGCAGGUGUGGAGGCUUGCUUGUUGCCAUUCUCUGCUGGAUUUUGCGGUUCCCCGGCGUCAAGAUGUAGCGGCGGCUCCGCACCAGGAACUCGACCUCCUGUUUUUGCGGCCACCGCUAUUCCUGAGCUCUGCCAGCUUCAUCCCUCCGUGGUACAAUGACUUCUGCCGUCAGCUCUACUCCAACCGCGAUUCACAGACGGAGGACCACGGUCCUGAUGCGCAUGUGGUUGCGGCUCUCGUUGACCUCACAAAGAUUGACGAAGCCGCUGUGCAGGCUGCCCAGCAUGGUGUUGAGGUUGCCGAUUGAGCUAAUGCCAUCCUGGACAAUCAUGGCGCCGACCUGGAUAAAGAUGCCACCCACGGUGAUUCUCAGAUCUUGGUCUUGGAAGCUCAUUAAUGUAUGUCAUUGGAAAAUGACGUAACCAUGUUUUCUGCUGACUCAUUGAUUAACUGUUGAGCAUCUUUAUCAAAAAGAAAGCAAGAUGCAGAUGUUGUUGGAUCACUUAUUUUAAGCUUGACAUUAUGUCUGCAAAUUAUGUAAGUAAUUAAUUAUAAAAAAUCUCUUUCAAAAUUACUAAGAUGGUAUUUAUUAAUUGAGCUCUUUUACCUUGCUUUGGCUCCAGCUUUUCUAUCACAUUUGCUGCAGUAGUAGUGAUCAAUUUCCUUCUCAAGUUGCUUCUUGCAGUUAUCUUUGCUACAUGAUAUGUAGUACCAGCUAUCUUGUAUUAACUUCAUCAGUUACUGCUCCAUAAUAAAUAUUCUUCCCUGCAUAAAUAUAUGUACAUUAUUGAGUGAAUGCACGAUUAUUAAUCGAUUGCAAACCUGAUUUAAUGAUUUAAAUAUAAUAUCAUUGAACUCUUGUAAAGUUUUUCUAUUAUAGCUCAUUUGAUCUUCCAUUGUCCAUUUUAGAUGCCCUUCCUCAAUAUGGAAUUCUUUGGUACUAUUUUCCUUGGAACAGAUGAUGAGAAAAUUCAUCAUGGAAGUGAUAUUUUUUUAAAUGAAAACAUAGGUACUGGAAUUUCAUUACCUGUUCUGUACAUCCAUAGUCUCGGUAAUAGGCAAAUUAAUAUACACUUGAGUUGCACUAUUUGAGGAUAGAGAAUAUCCUGCAUAUUGGUUUAUAUAAUAACUAUGUUUAUAUGCAAUACCAAGCCAUGAGAUGACAAAAUGAGCAAAGAAAUUUAAGAUAAAACAUACUUCCAUAUUUCCUGAUAGUUGUAGAUGUAAUUAUCGCCUGUUGAGUUGGCAUCAAUUAGUUCAGAUUUAGCAGCCCAUAAUGUAACUUUGAAUUCUUGAUCUCUGUUAACAAAAAGUAAAAUAAUUGUGAAGACAUAACUUGAGCAUCUAGGUUGCAAAUAUGACAUUAUUUUUCACAUACUCCACCAGAAGUAGAAUAUCACAGAUUUUGUAGAUUCCAAAAGAUGUUUUACUUUCUUCAAUUGGUCAUAUGUGUGCUGUAACUCCUAUAAAAACCUGUUAAAACAUGAAUUUAGAUGACAUAUGCCACAAAAAAGAAGAUAGUUUCUUAAAAAAAACUUGUAAUAUCGUACCUGAGAGAUAAAUAUUAACACCUACUCUUGUAGAAAGCACCGCUAUGCUUCAAAAGUUGAAACCAUGCUUUGAGAUGUCUUCUUUAUCUUGGAUCUCCUCCAUAUUGGUUGUAGGCGAGAAGUUGAUUAUUAUGUCAUUUUCUACUGGUCAAAAUUUAGGUGAUGCGGGCAUGACCCUCACGUUUGUAAUGGUAUACACACUGACUUCUAGAAUUAAUGGUCUGAACUUCGCAGUGUAAGCCUUACUGAUAACUCCAUGCAUCAUUGUCCGCUGGUGUAUUUGUAAUUAGCAUGGAGAUUGAAACAAUAUCAUUGGAAAUAAUUCAGGCAAAUAUGUAGUUGCAAUAAGAGAACCCUUGUACCUCUUGAUCAAUAAGGAUUAUAUCAAGACUCUCUAAUUCACAAUUACUAAUCAAUAUUGAAUCACAUAGUCUUGGUACUCUUGCCUUGACUGUUACUUCCUUUCCUCUAUUGGUAGCUUGAAUCUAACGCAAGGCUUUGCAUGUCAUUGAAGAUUUCACCAUUGAACUGAAACAUCAAAUAGAUAUGAAUACUUGAUUGCUUAUUCCUUUCGUAUUGUUACAUGAUAGGUUUUGUAUCCAAACCUGGUUGAGUGCAAUCACGUUUGUGCCGACGGGAUGUCGGGAAGACUGCCGGAUGCUUGAGGCCAUGAGAUGUUUGUGCCGACGGGAUGCCAGCAAGACGGCCGGAUGCUUGAGGCCAUGAGAUGCUGGUGCAGCCGGCACGACGUGAUGCCUUGACGAAGAUGCAAAAACCAAUGGAUAUCGGCAAGACAGCCUGAUGCUUGAGGCGAUGGGAUGUCGGCAAGUUGGCAGGCGCUGCUGCAGCCGGCACAUCGUGAUUUCCUGAAGAAGAUGCAACAACCAACGGAGAAAGGAUUUAGAGAUUUUGUUAUUUUGAUCGGCAAGAAAACUGGCAUUAUAUAGAGUAUAUAUCUGUAGAGAUGCAUGUCUUUUGAAUUUUAAUUGCCGAGGAGGCAUAUUCCUAUGGAGACACGAUACGUGGAGGUUAAUUCCGCGAGUCAGCACAUACAAAUUUAAACGAA
This is a long non-coding RNA of Lolium perenne, 2793 nucleotides long. RefSeq lists it as uncharacterized. The record is from RefSeq and is a predicted model, not a curated record. NCBI's taxonomy places the organism in Eukaryota, Viridiplantae, Streptophyta, Magnoliopsida, Poales, Poaceae.